Molecule: ribosomal RNA, 3035 nt
Filed under: Proteus mirabilis
Lineage: Bacteria; Pseudomonadati; Pseudomonadota; Gammaproteobacteria; Enterobacterales; Morganellaceae
Description: bacterial LSU rRNA
Rfam family: Bacterial large subunit ribosomal RNA
Source: RNAcentral
GGGUUGUGAGGUUAAGCGAAUAAGCGUACACGGUGGAUGCCUAGGCAAUCAGAGGCGAUGAAGGACGUGCUAAUCUGCGAUAAGCGUCGGUAAGGUGAUAUGAACCGUUAUACCCGACGAUUUCCGAAUGGGGAAACCCAAUAUCCAAUGGAUAUUAUCAUGACGUGAAUACAUAGCGUCAUGAAGCGAACCGGGAGAACUGAAACAUCUCAGUACCCCGAGGAAAAGAAAUCAACCGAGAUUCCCCUAGUAGCGGCGAGCGAACGGGGAACAGCCCAGAGUCUUAAUCAAUAGCAGCAUCAGGAGAACGGUCUGGAAAGUCCGGCAGUAAAGGGUGAUAGCCCCGUAUCUGAAGAUGCUGUUAUUGUGAACUCGACGAGUAGGGCGGGACACGUGUUAUCCUGUCUGAAUAUGGGGGGACCAUCCUCCAAGGCUAAAUACUCCUGAUUGACCGAUAGUGAACCAGUACCGUGAGGGAAAGGCGAAAAGAACCCCGGCGAGGGGAGUGAAAAAGAACCUGAAACCGUGUACGUACAAGCAGUAGGAGCCCCACCACUAAGCUAGUGGUGAACUCACAGCGAUUCUUUUGCAUGAUAAUGUGCGGUAGACGGAGCGAAAGUGACGUCCAACCAACAAAAUCAAGCAGAGGAGGCUUAGUGGUGGGGUGACUGCGUACCUUUUGUAUAAUGGGUCAGCGACUUAUAUUCUGUAGCAAGGUUAACCGUAUAGGGGAGCCGUAGGGAAACCGAGUCUUAACUGGGCGAAUGAGUUGCAGGGUAUAGACCCGAAACCCGGUGAUCUAUCCAUGGGCAGGUUGAAGGUUGGGUAACACUAACUGGAGGACCGAACCGACUAAUGUUGAAAAAUUAGCGGAUGACUUGUGGAUGGGGGUGAAAGGCCAAUCAAACCGGGAGAUAGCUGGUUCUCCCCGAAAGCUAUUUAGGUAGCGCCUCGUGAACUCAUCUUCGGGGGUAGAGCACUGUUUCGACUAGGGGGUCAUCCCGACUUACCAACUCGAUGCAAACUGCGAAUACCGAAGAAUGUUAUCACGGGAGACACACGGCGGGUGCUAACGUCCGUCGUGAAGAGGGAAACAACCCAGACCGCCAGCUAAGGUCCCAAAGUCAUGGUUAAGUGGGAAACGAAGUGGGAAGGCUCAGACAGCCAGGAUGUUGGCUUAGAAGCAGCCAUCAUUUAAAGAAAGCGUAAUAGCUCACUGGUCGAGUCGGCCCGCGCGGAAGAUGUAACGGGGCUAAACCAUGCACCGAAGCUGCGGCAGCGACACUAUGUGUUGUUGGGUAGGGGAGCGUUCUGUAAGCCUGCGAAGGUGUACUGUGAGGUAUGCUGGAGGUAUCAGAAGUGCGAAUGCUGACAUAAGUAACGAUAAUGCGGGUGAAAAACCCGCACGCCGGAAGACCAAGGGUUCCUGUCCAACGUUAAUCGGGGCAGGGUGAGUCGACCCCUAAGGCGAGGCUGAAAAGCGUAGUCGAUGGGAAACGGGUUAAUAUUCCCGUACUGGUGGUAACUGCGAUGGGGGAACGGAGAAGGCUAGGUUGUCCGGGCGACGGUCGUCCCGGUUCAAGCAUGUAGGCAGAGUGAUUAGGCAAAUCCGGUCACUUAAUGCUGAGGUGUGAUGACGAACCACUAAGGUGGUGAAGCAAUUGAUGCCCUGCUUCCAGGAAAAGCCUCUAAGCUUCAGGUUACCAACAAUCGUACCCCAAACCGACACAGGUGGUCAGGUAGAGAAUACUCAGGCGCUUGAGAGAACUCGGGUGAAGGAACUAGGCAAAAUGGUGCCGUAACUUCGGGAGAAGGCACGCUGGCGGUAAGUGAAGUCCCUUGCGGACGGAGCCGAAGCCAGUCGAAGAUACCAGCUGGCUGCAACUGUUUAUUAAAAACACAGCACUGUGCAAACACGAAAGUGGACGUAUACGGUGUGACGCCUGCCCGGUGCUGGAAGGUUAAUUGAUGGGGUUAUCCGUAAGGAGAAGCUCUUGAUCGAAGCCCCAGUAAACGGCGGCCGUAACUAUAACGGUCCUAAGGUAGCGAAAUUCCUUGUCGGGUAAGUUCCGACCUGCACGAAUGGCGUAAUGAUGGCCAGGCUGUCUCCACCCGAGACUCAGUGAAAUUGAACUCGCUGUGAAGAUGCAGUGUACCCGCGGCAAGACGGAAAGACCCCGUGAACCUUUACUAUAGCUUGACACUGAACAUUGAGCCUUGAUGUGUAGGAUAGGUGGGAGACUAUGAAGUGUGGACGCCAGUCUGCAUGGAGUCAACCUUGAAAUACCACCCUUUAACGUUUGAUGUUCUAACCUAGGUCCAUAAUCUGGAUCGGGGACCGUGUCUGGUGGGUAGUUUGACUGGGGCGGUCUCCUCCUAAAGAGUAACGGAGGAGCACGAAGGUUGGCUAAGCAUGGUCGGACAUCAUGCGGUUAGUGCAAAGGCAUAAGCCAGCUUGACUGUGAGAGUGACGGCUCGAGCAGGUACGAAAGUAGGUCUUAGUGAUCCGGUGGUUCUGAAUGGAAGGGCCAUCGCUCAACGGAUAAAAGGUACUCCGGGGAUAACAGGCUGAUACCGCCCAAGAGUUCAUAUCGACGGCGGUGUUUGGCACCUCGAUGUCGGCUCAUCACAUCCUGGGGCUGAAGUAGGUCCCAAGGGUAUGGCUGUUCGCCAUUUAAAGUGGUACGCGAGCUGGGUUUAGAACGUCGUGAGACAGUUCGGUCCCUAUCUGCCGUGGGCGUUGGAAGAUUGAGAGGGGUUGCUCCUAGUACGAGAGGACCGGAGUGAACGCACCACUGGUGUUCGGGUUGUCAUGCCAAUGGCAUUGCCCGGUAGCUAAGUGCGGAAGAGAUAACCGCUGAAAGCAUCUAAGCGGGAAACUUGCCUCGAGAUGAGUCUUCCCUGUCACCUUGAGUGACCUAAAGGAACGUUUAAGACUAAGACGUUGAUAGGCUGGGUGUGUAAGCGUAGCGAUACGUUGAGCUAACCAGUACUAAUGAACCGUGAGGCUUAACCUGACAACACCGAAGGUGUUU